GCCCAAGGUUCAAACCUGGAUCUCU
RNAcentral lists this unclassified non-coding RNA (25 nucleotides) under Dictyostelium discoideum. The record is from RNAcentral. Lineage: Eukaryota; Evosea; Eumycetozoa; Dictyosteliales; Dictyosteliaceae.